RNAcentral lists this ribosomal RNA (699 nucleotides) under Triticum aestivum (bread wheat). RNAcentral describes it as "partial small subunit ribosomal RNA". The record is from RNAcentral. Lineage: Eukaryota; Viridiplantae; Streptophyta; Magnoliopsida; Poales; Poaceae.
AUGCAAAAGAAGAAAGAUACGGAUAACAAUAUUUUCAAAUUGAAGUUAUUUCCGUUUUCUCUUAGAGAUCGUGCUAAAGUUUGGUUUUCAUCUUUGCCUAAAAAUAGUAUUGAUUCUUGGAACAAGUGCAAAGAUGCUUUUAUCUCUAAGUAUUUUCCUCCCGCUAAGAUUAUCACUCUUAGGAACGAUAUCAUGAAUUUUAAACAGCUUGAUCAUGAGCAUGUUGCCCAAUCUUGGGAAAGAAUGAAAUUGAUGCUUCGCAAUUUCCCUACUCAUGGUUUGAAUUUAUGGAUGAUCAUACAAAAAUUUUAUGCCGGUUUGAACUUUGCUUCUAGAAAUCUCUUAGAUUCGGCCGCGGGAGGCACUUUUAUGGAAAUCACAUUAGGAGAUGCUACAAAACUUCUUGAUAAUAUUAUGGCUAAUUAUUCUCAAUGGCACACCGGAAGAUCUUCUAGUAAAAAAGUGCAUGCUAUAGAAGAAAUCAAUGUUUUGAGUGGAAAGAUGGAUGAACUUAUGAAGAUGUUUGCUACUAGAAAUACUCCUGUUGAUCCCAAUGAUAUGCCUUUGUCUUCUUUGAUUGAGAAUAAUAAUGAAUCUAUGGAUGUGAAUUUUUUUGGUAGGAAUAGUUUUGGAAACAAUGCUUAUAGAGGAAACUUUAAUGCUAGACCGUUCCCUAGUAAUUCCUCUAAUAAUUAUUGA